GACGAACGCUGGCGGCGUGCCUAAUACAUGCAAGUUGAACGCUAAAGCUUUAACUGGUGCUUGCACCGACUUAAGUUUUUAGAGUAGCGGACGGGUGAGUAACACGUGGGUAACCUGCCCAUCAGAGGGGGAUAACACUUGGAAACAGGUGCUAAUACCGCAUAACAAUCAUAACCGCAUGGUUAUGAUUUGAAAGGCGCUUCUGGUGUCACUGAUAGAUGGACCCGCGGUGCAUUAGCUAGUCGGUGGGGUAACGGCCUACCGAGGCGAUGAUGCAUAGCCGACCUGAGAGGGUGAUCGGCCACAUUGGGACUGAGACACGGCCCAAACUCCUACGGGAGGCAGCAGUAGGGAAUCUUCGGCAAUGGACGAAAGUCUGACCGAGCAACGCCGCGUGAGUGAAGAAGGUUUUCGGAUCGUAAAACUCUGUUGUUAGAGAAGAACAGGAGAAGUAGUAACUGGCUUCUUUUUGACGGUAUCUAACCAGAAAGCCACGGCUAACUACGUGCCAGCAGCCGCCGCGGUAACAC
This 530-nucleotide ribosomal RNA is filed under the name uncultured bacterium. RNAcentral describes it as "bacterial SSU rRNA". It matches the Rfam family "Bacterial small subunit ribosomal RNA", at positions 28 to 526 of the family's 1533-position model. The record is from RNAcentral.